RNAcentral lists this long non-coding RNA (891 nucleotides) under Apteryx rowi (Okarito brown kiwi). RNAcentral describes it as "lncRNA (ENSARWG00000009120.1)". The record is from RNAcentral. Lineage: Eukaryota; Metazoa; Chordata; Aves; Apterygiformes; Apterygidae.
GUGAUGAAGGUGAAUGUGGUGACCAGAGGAAGAUUAGAGAGGAUGCAGCUGCCAUUGAGGAUGCCUCUUGAAGACAGAUGGUGACCCAGAACACUGUGGAAGCUAAGUUGAGAGGCCAUGGGUGUUGAUGUGGUACAGCAUUCCCAGCGGGCCCGAGGGAGAUGGAGAAAGAAAGGGUCAUGCCCCUAGGAAGGUGAGUUAGAGAUUUGUUGCUAGAAGUAGAGUAUUGUGGUCAGCGGUUCCCUGGUUAAUUUUUGCUUUGUGCUUAUAGGUGUGGAGCAAUGUGGAGAGCGGGUCGCUUGCAUGCAGGAGGAGCAUGGCAAGGUGAGUGUCAGUCUGAUAUUUGAAGUAGAGGCUAGGGUAGGGCUGUUGUCUUGUUGGCGCUGUCUGUAUUGCCCACCACUGUUUUGGUUUUACAGGUGGGUGGCUGGCCUUGGCGUGGCGACCUGUAGCAUGGUGGUCGGGAUGGGUGAGCAGAGCAGGUGAAGGUGUGGGAGCAAAUGCUUGAUGUGGGUGGGCUGUGGUUCUGCAGGCAUGAUCUGAGUGCUUGCUUUCUGUUUGUUUGCAGGUUUUGCAGGAAGUUGUGGAGAGGAGAAGUUGAGUGCUGACAAGAGCCUGAGCAGGUACUGUGUGGGCCUUUCCCAGGCAUGGUUGAGGAUGUCAGGUGAGCAGACUGGUGUUGGGCAUUGUUGCGCUGGUGAGCGCUGCCUAGCAGAAGAGUCACUUUGUUUUGUUUUUUGCAGGUGCUGCGGGCUCCCUCUGGGCAUAAUUUUGGAGUUGGGAAUUGGCACAGUGCAGGUGAUGAAGGUGAAUGUGGUGACCGGAGGAAGAUCAGAGAGGAUGCGGCUGCCAUUGAGGAUGCCUGUUGAGGAUGGAUGGUGACCCAGAGCA